AAGUUGGAAAAAAAAGAAACGUUGUAAAGUUAACGUUGCAAUUGAUGAACGUUGCACAAAGUUCUUAAGCAAUAAUUAUUAUACUGAUGACGUUCUUUUGCAAUUAUAAUUAUAUUGUAAAUCAGUUUUCAAGUUGAGGGAGUUGGUUAGGCCUGAUGGGGUGACAUACAAGUGGUUGGUUGGAGGGUACUGUGAUAAGGGUGAUUUGGUUGAGGCUUCCAAAGUUUGGACCUUGAUGGGGGAUGAGCGGUUUGAGCCUGAUGUGGAUGCUGUUGAGAAAAUGAUGGAGACCUUUUUUAAGGUGAAUUAGUAUGGUGAGGCUUUGAGGCUCUUUGAUACAAUGAGGUUCAAGAGGAUGGAUGAACUUGGGGUUUCAACUUAUGGGCGCAUGAAGUUUUUGAGGAAAUGCGCGAGAGGGGUGUUCGAGUCGAUAACUCCACUCUGGGGCAUGUUGCGUAUGGACUUAUGACUAGGCGUAGAGUUAGAGAGGCUUAUAAAGUUGUUGAGGAGAUUGAGGCGCCGGAUUUGAGCGUGUAUCAUGGUUGAUAAAGGGGCUUUUGAGGCUGAGAAGGGCGAGUGAGGUGACGCAGGUGUUUGGGGAAAUGGUAAGAAGAGAUUGCAAACCGAAUAUGCAUACAUACAUAAUGCUGCUGCUAGGGCAUUCGGGGAGGAGGAGGAGGAAGGGGUCUGAUCCGCUUGUUAAUUUUGAUACUAUUUUUGUUGGGGGUAUGGUGAAGACAGGGAAGUCGAAGGAAGCUAGCAAGUAUGUGGAGAGGGUGAUUAACAAAGGAAUGGAGGUGCCAAGGUUUGAUUAUAACAAGUUUUUGAACUGCUUUUCGAACGAAGAACAGUUUGAGGAUGUGGGGAAGAAGGUGAGAGAGGUGAGACUGUUUGAUUUGGUAGACAUACUUGAGAGUUAUGGACAGAAGAUGGCUACCAGAGACAGGAGAAGAACCAGAAGUCCAUAACAUAGCAGUAUUUUAUGGCUUAUUCACAGAUAUGAAUAACAAAGUUCUAUAAUGGGUUGGAGGUACCAUGCUGGGUUGGGACUUAUUGGAGCUUUUGUCUUAAUUGGAUGGGAUUCUCCAAAGACCAGAAACUGAUCUAAAAAGUAGUUUGAUCACCGACAAUGACAUCAAAGAAAUCGAAGAAGGGAUGUCUUUGUUCAAGAAAGAGAAAGAUGAAACUCCCUUGCUUGCACAGAGUAAUGAAAGUAGCUCAUGGAAAAUUGCCUCACUCCAAUAUGGUUUGCACACGAGUACUUUUCGGACAUGGCACUUGCAAAUACUAGUGUUGCUAGUACAACGGUUCUGAAUUCCAUGUCAGGUCUCUUUACCCUUUUCUUUGGAGCCCUUCUUGGCCAGGACUCAGUAAAUAUGACCAAAGUAGCAGCUGUUUUAAUCAGCAUGGCUGGAGUUGCCAUGACAACAAUUGGAAAAACUUGGGAAACAGAUGAGCUUAUCAGCAUCUCUGAGUAAGUUCAAAGUUUCAUUUUAAGGUGAAAAAGCCUCUUUCAUACAGUACUUCAACCCUGCAAUCCUUUAGUCCACUUCAUUAGAGUGCACAAAUGCAUAAUUCCCCAAGGAAAAUCAAUUUCAGUUUAUCUGAGGAGUUUUAGCCUUUAAUUUUGUUAAUAUGCAUAGUGAAUAGACCAAUACUGCAACUUUUGUAUCGGCAUUAUGCAGUCUCUUUUAUUCAGUGAUUGAGUAACGCCUCCAUCUUUGUUCAUCUUAGCUAACAUGUUAAAAGAUUCAAGUUGUUGCCAGGCUGAGAUAAUAGGAAAAAAAAAUAGUUGAUAUCAGUUUGUCUUAAAAAAAAUUAACAAUUUUUGUUUAAAUGGAUGUACCAAGUACAUGUAUAUGUUUCUCUUUUUAAUAGUUGAUGUUAAAAUGCAUGUUUCCCUUUAUAUUGUUUCAAUUUCUGAAAUUGGAAUUACCAAGUACUCAAAAGCAUACUAUCAUUGGGGACAUUUCUGGCCUACUCUCAGCAGUAUUUUAUGGCUUAUUCACAGGUAUGAAUAAUCAAUUGCAAUGGAUUCUACCUCAUAAUGAUAAUUCAUGUUUAAGUUCAAAUUUUGACUUAAAGAUCAUUGUGAAUCAUUGAUCAAUUAAUUGCAGUGCUUCUCAAGAACUCUGCUGGAUCAGGAGACAUGGAAAAGCUUAUUUAAGAGAACCAUUUAGUACAAUUUUUACUUAAAUUAGAGAUUGCUUAGGAGAAUCAUUAAGUACCAUGUAUAUUCAAGUGUAAGACUUUAAUUAAAUACUAAAAUUUUAUGUGAGAUAUUAUA
RNA transcript from Vigna angularis (adzuki bean), 2287 nucleotides. RefSeq lists it as uncharacterized. The transcript is spliced from 3 exons. Lineage: Eukaryota; Viridiplantae; Streptophyta; Magnoliopsida; Fabales; Fabaceae. The record is from RefSeq and is a predicted model, not a curated record.